GUUGCUGAAGUGACCGUCUCCUUCCGCGAGCCUGACAAGUAGUCCGUUCCCGGACGCCGGGACAAGCGGCCCCGGCAGCAGCAGGGGCUGCUGGGAAAUGGAGUCUGGCUGUGGCCAGAGCCGCCGUUUCGCCCGGCCCUGGUUUAAGGGAAAGUAGAAAGAACCUAUUUAUGUUAACUAGCAUUGAAGAAACUGGACUAACCCAACAUUCAAAGUGAUAAAGUCUGGAAAAUAUUGAUGUUUAAAUGAAAGUACUAAUAUACCCCCAAGCUAACAGUGUCAGACAAUGUAAGUAAUGUUUUUUCAUGAAGUGUCAAUUGUAAAAUGAAAGCAUCCGCAAAGUGUAAACAGUAAAUGAAGACGGAGAUGGCAAAAAAAGUCGACCAACACUACCUUCCUGGAAACUUGAUAGUAAUAUUUACUUCCCUACUGAUUUCAUAUUUUUAUGUGACAUUUAUUUUCCUCCUUCUGAAUAGAACUGCAUAAGCUGCUGCUACUUGGCCAACAGAGGGAGUGUGAAAGAGACUGUGGGUUGCACUGAACAGUGGCUUUAACAAAAAAAAAACAAAAAAAAAAACAAAACACACCAAACAAAAAAAAACACACAAAAAACCUCUUCUGGCAAGGAAAUGGCGGUUUUUAAAAAUAAAUAUUUAAAAUCUGGAAGACCGCCCAAGUCAGACUAAAAAUGUAAAGGUACUUUUGAGUUUAACUUCUAAACUUGACAGCGCCUCUUUAAAAAGAAUGCUUUGUAAAAAGCCAAACACUUCUCUGGAGGUUUCAGCCUACUGCAAGUCUACAGAGUCAGCAUUAGGCUGAGAUCAUAAAUCCACAUUUAAACUGGCAACUGUUAUUCUCUUGGCACGUCUCCUUCCCCAAACUCCAACCAUAUGUAGUAGACUGUCUCUGACACCAUAUUUAUGAGCAUUAUUUCCCAUGCUGAUUGUGUGCAUCUGUAGUCUUGUUGCACACUUAUGUUUUUAAAAUAGUGAGAUAAAUAAUUACCAUCAAUACUCAUAUACCCUUUAUUUGUUUUUAACGAGACGCUCCUGCCAGCAUAAGCUGUAUCAUUUGUCAAUAUAAAUAUGUACAAAUGCAGAACUCUGGAGUAUUUCUGUUUAGCUGGGUUUUUCUUACUUUUUUUUUACUUGUGAAUAUUUUGGCUUACAAAAAUUACAGCAUACAGUAAAUAACCCUCCAAUAUUUUGUACAAACUACGUGAUUUUGAUAUACAAGGAAUCUUUUUAUUACAGUGACAAUGUACAACCAUGUCUAUUUACAAUGCAAAAAAGUAUAUAAACCACAAUUUAAACGUUCUGCUACUGGCAGCCACUAUAGUUUAGGAGGUAGCUUUAAUUAACAAAAUGAACUGAAGCCACAUUUCCCAUCAUGUGUUCUAUCAAAUAAUUUACAAUACAAAGAUAAAAAUUAAUUCUAUGCACAGUAUGUACAGUUUAAUUCUCAAAACCGCAAUCUAGCUUAAAUCUUAAAAAGAAUAUUUCCAGAGUAACUGGGAUGGCAGUGGAUUUGCUAUUGAUUUAUCAUACCGUUAAAGAAACGCACAUAUUUAUUUUGAUCAUGCAUUCAUAAUUUUAUGUUGAUCAGAUUUCAAACUAAGCAUGGACAAUAGUAUCAUUGAUUGUAAUUUAAUGACAUUUGGGCCUCAGAUCUCAAAUGAUUUUAAAAAAUAAUUCACUGAUAUACAUGCAAAUCAGUCCAUCUCUCCACAGUAUGCUUUACCCUCAGUAAAAUAAUUGGCAGAAAUGCAGGACUUCCUAUACUGCAAAGCUGCUUUUCAUUAUUACCCCAUUUAGUAAAAUUUCAGUAUGCUUACAAACACCAUUGAGUGUUAAAGCACUGUUGCAAACAUUGGUCAGGGCUGCAAAAUAUUUCAGCUACCAUCUCUAAACAAGCUAACCUCAGACACCGACAGCAGUGAUGAUAUACACUGUCUAGUUCACGAAAAUUCUCAGACUGACUUUUUUUUUUUUUUUAACCAAA
This is a long non-coding RNA of Alligator mississippiensis (American alligator), 2001 nucleotides long. RefSeq lists it as uncharacterized. Lineage: Eukaryota; Metazoa; Chordata; Crocodylia; Alligatoridae. The transcript is spliced from 2 exons. The record is from RefSeq and is a predicted model, not a curated record.